RNAcentral lists this transfer RNA (76 nucleotides) under Candidatus Roizmanbacteria bacterium. Its description in RNAcentral is "tRNA-Val". It matches the Rfam family "tRNA". From Rfam's summary of the family: Transfer RNA (tRNA) molecules are approximately 80 nucleotides in length. Their secondary structure includes four short double-helical elements and three loops (D, anti-codon, and T loops). Further hydrogen bonds mediate the characteristic L-shaped molecular structure. tRNAs have two regions of fundamental functional importance: the anti-codon, which is responsible for specific mRNA codon recognition, and the 3' end, to which the tRNAs corresponding amino acid is attached (by aminoacyl-tRNA synthetases). tRNAs cope with the degeneracy of the genetic code in two manners: having more than one tRNA (with a specific anti-codon) for a particular amino acid; and 'wobble' base-pairing, i.e. permitting non-standard base-pairing at the 3rd anti-codon position. The record is from RNAcentral. Lineage: Bacteria; Candidatus Roizmaniibacteriota.
GGACUCGUAGCUCAGUGGUUAGAGCGUUCGCUUGACAUGCGAAAGGUCAGAGGUUCAAGUCCUCUCGAGUCCACCC